RNAcentral lists this ribosomal RNA (774 nucleotides) under uncultured Neocallimastigales. Its description in RNAcentral is "partial large subunit ribosomal RNA". It matches the Rfam family "Eukaryotic large subunit ribosomal RNA", at positions 23 to 649 of the family's 3401-position model. The record is from RNAcentral. Lineage: Eukaryota; Fungi; Neocallimastigomycota; Neocallimastigomycetes; Neocallimastigales.
UAUGUGAUCGUCUCUUGCAUAUCAAUAAGCGGAGUAAAAGAAACUAACAAGGAUUCCCCUAGUAACGGCGAGUGAAGCGGGAAGAGCUCAAAUUUGAAAUCUUAAAGGGUUUCCCUUUACGAAUUGUAGUUUAAAGAAGUGUUUUCUGUUGAGGUUUUGGUAAAAGUUCUUUGGAAUAGGACAUCAUAGAGGGUGAGAAUCCCGUAUUUGACCUUUACUUUCAACUUUGUGAUACACUUUCAAAGAGUCGGAUUGUUUGGGAAUGCAGUCCAAAAUGGGUGGUAAAUUUCAUCUAAAGCUAAAUAUUGGCGAGAGACCGAUAGCGAACAAGUACCGUGAGGGAAAGAUGAAAAGAACUUUGAAAAGAGAGUUAAACAGUACGUGAAAUUGUCAAAAGGGAAGCGUUUGACACCAGUGUUGUUUUUCUGAAAAUCAAUUAAAGAACUGUUUAUGCUAAGCUGUUUAGACUUUAUCAGCUAACUGUUUAGCUUUGAGCUUUUCUUUAAUGCACUUUUCAGUUAACAAGUCAACAUCAAUUUCUUUUGCUGUAAAAAAGCUUGAGGAAGGUGGCUUGAGAUUCGUCUUAAGUGUUUAUAGCCUCUUGCCUAUGCAGUCGGAGAGAUUGAGGUCUGCAGCGUAGAUCCUUCGGGGCUAAAUGCAUUUGUGCUAAGUUAUAGCAUUUUAUAGACAACUUGUUGACUAUGAUUUGUCUUGUAGCUUACUCGCUUAUGUUAUUUUACCUACGCUUAGGAUGUUGAGUAGCGACAUACGCAC